Molecule: ribosomal RNA, 460 nt
Filed under: uncultured bacterium
Lineage: Bacteria
Description: partial 16S ribosomal RNA
Rfam family: Bacterial small subunit ribosomal RNA
Source: RNAcentral
CCUACGGGAGGCAGCAGUGAGGAAUAUUGGUCAAUGGACGAGAGUCUGAACCAGCCACGUAGCGUGAAGGAUGACUGCCCUAUGGGUUGUAAACUUCUUUUAUAUGGGAAUAAAAUGUUCCACGUGUGGGAUUUUGUAUGUACCAUAUGAAUAAGGAUCGGCUAACUCCGUGCCAGCAGCCGCGGUAAUACGGAGGGUCCGAGCGUUAUCCGGAUUUAUUGGGUUUAAAGGGAGCGUAGGUGGAUUGUUAAGUCAGUUGUGAAAGUUUGCGGCUCAACCGUAAAAUUGCAGUUGAAACUGGCAGUCUGGAGUACAGUAGAGGUGGGCGGAAUUCGAGGUGUAGCGGUGAAAUGCUUAGAUAUCACGAAGAACUCCGAUUGCGAAGGCAGCUCACUGGACUGCAACUGACACUGAGGCGCGAAAGUGUGGGUAUCAAACAGGAUUAGAUACCCGGGUAGUC